This 7170-nucleotide long non-coding RNA is filed under the name Sus scrofa (pig). Its description in RNAcentral is "lncRNA (ENSSSCG00025006731.1)". The record is from RNAcentral. Lineage: Eukaryota; Metazoa; Chordata; Mammalia; Artiodactyla; Suidae.
UUUUUUUUUUUUUCUUUUAUUACUCAAAUGAAUUUAUCACAUCUGUAGUUGUAUAAUGAUCUUAACAAUCUGAUUUCACAGGAUUUCCAUCCCAAAGCCCAGGCACAUCCCCCCACCCCCAAAACUGUCUCCUCCGGAGACCGUAAGUUUUUCAAUGUCUGUGAGUCAGCGGCUGUUCUGCAAAGUUCAGUCUGUCCUUUUUUCAGAUUCCACAUGUCAGUGAAAGCAUUUGAUGUUGGUGUCUCAUUGUAUGGCUGACUUCACUUAGCAUGAUAGUUUCUAGGUCCAUCCAUGUUGCUAAAAAUGCUGGCAUUUCGUUCUUUUUAAUGGCUGAGUAAUAUUCCAUUGUGUAUGUGUACUACAUCUUCUGGAUCCACUCCCCUGUCGAUGGACAUUUAGGUUGUUUCCAUGUCUUGGCUAUCUAAUGCCACCUCUUGAGAAUUAAGUUAGUCCAUAGACAGAAGAUGAUUAUGACAUACCAGGGUAGAGUCAAAUUAAGGCCGACCUAAAAGAGCUUGACACUAGAGAUGCAAUUAUUUUGUCUUUCUCAUAAAGAGGAGGAGGAGUAUUUCUUUAGGAUUUCCUCCUGCAAAUCCAAACUUGAAUGUACAAAAACAAACGCUGGUUCUUCAAAAAAUUGCCAGGAUUAUUUCUUUUCCAACUAGUGACAGAAUUGGAUUUCCUACAAGCACAUGAAUUCUGCUUCACUGGCAAACUGGUUUUAGGUCCAGGUAGAAGGAAAUAAAGGGGGCGGGGACUAGAAAUUCCUGAUGAGGACAAGGAAAUCAGUUUUCAGUUUUCCUCCUGAGUCAUCAGGGGAGUGUGGGACACAAGUGGCUUUUGAAUGUCCACUUCUCUAUGUGGACAUGGAAGAAGCAAAGCCCAAUGGCACUGUGGAAAUCAAAACUUUAGAAAAAGAGGCAAAUAAAAUGAGUAAACGUGACCCUUAAACUAAAAAGGGAACUAAGUGCAUUUCUUUUAAAAUAUACCUUAGCGACUACUUCCAUUAAAAAAAAAAAAAAAAAAAGCCUUCAACUCCAGAGCUUAAGUGAGUUGCAGUGAAGUUUAACAUUUUCAACCAAGUAAUAAACACCAUAUACACUAGAACCUAAUCCAAAUUUUAGGAAGUCAUCAUAACACUUCAACUAUAAGGUAUAGCUGUUUCUUUAAAGGCCAAAGACUUACUUAAAAAAAAAAAAAAAUCAAUCAAUCAAUCAAACCCCACCAACAACAGGAAUUCCCUUCGUGAUGCAAAAGAAACAAAUCUGACUAGUAUCCACGAGGAUGAGGGUUCAAAUCCUGGCCUUACUCAGUGGGUUAAGGAUCCAGUAUUGCCGUGAACUGUGGUGUAGAUCUCAAAUACCACAUUUCUAUGGCUGUGGUGUAGGCUGGUGGCUGCAGCUCCGAUUCAACCCCUGACCUGGAAACUUCCAUAUGCCGUGAGUGCAGCCCUAAAAAGACAAAAAAAAAAAAAAAAAGGAACUCCAUGUUGCCCCUUUGGUGGCUCGAGAGGCCUCUGGAAGAAGUGAUUCUAUGGAUGGUAGUGGCAGAUUAGAUGCCAACUGCCUUCAGUGUUUCUAACUUGAUGCCUCAGCCCUGAUGCUAUGGAAAAUUUUGAAGAGGACUUGCGGGUGCUGGUCUUGCUGGUCUUACUAACAUCUGUGUGCAAGUUCACAUUUUCUAACCAAGCACUUUCCACAGCAAAUCCUAAGUGUUUCUCAAUAUGAUCCAGUGACUCCUCUUGAGUGCUUGUUACGGCCUCAGAUUCCGCCCCCGAGAACUGAGUCUGGAAGAGGGCUAUGGUCUGUGUUCUCUUUAAAAUUCAUGUUGGAAAUGCUGACCUCCAACGUGAUAGUGUUGGGAGGUGGUGCCUUGGGGAGAUGAUCAGGUCAUGAGCAGAGACCUCCUGAAUGGAAUUAGCGAGAGGUUAAAGAGAAAAAAUGGCCAUCUAGGAAGCAGGCCCUUUCCAAACACUCAAUCUGCCUGUGUCUUGAUCUUGGACUUCCCAGCCUCCAGAACUGAGAAGACUUUGUUACCUAAGUGACUGUCUGUGGUAUUCUGUUAUAGCAGCCUGAACAGACAAAGAACAAAUAGUAACCCUAACAGUCUGCACUUCCAUACAACUCCUGGGAGACUUUCUGACUUGAGCUUAUUUACGUCAAGAUCCUGAUUAUUUAGCUUCACAUCUUUGGCCACCACCAUCCCUCCAGGGUCUUUUGCUUUCCUACCUCAAAGAUAACACAGGUAUAAUGCGCAUCAAAAUGAAUUACAUCAUUUUAUUUUUUUAGUUGUUUUUCCUAGGGCAGCUGCCACGGCAUAUGGAGGUUCCCAGGCUAGGGGUCCAAUCAGAGCCGCAGCCACCAGCCUACACCACAGCCACUCAGGAUCAGAGUAGCGUCUGCAACCUACACCACAGCUCGCGACAAGGCCAGAUCCUUAACCCACUGAGCAAGGUCAGGGAUCAAACCCGAAACCUCAUGGUUCCUAGUUGGAUUCGUUAACCACUGCACCAUGACGGAAACUCCAUGAAUUACAUCCUGAAAUGAAAUAAAAAACCUCUAGCCCCUAAUCAAGGCAUUACAACUAGCACAGACUCAACAAGAGAAGGAAAAUGAAAAGUGGCAAUCUCUUGCAGAGACAGAACACUGCACUAUUGCUGCCCCAGGACUCUUAAUCUGAGAAAGUAAGCCUACAUCUCACUAAGCUUCUUAAGCUUCUCAUUUGUCAGAUUUUUUUUUUUUUUUUUUUUUUUUUAAUUUAAGGGCUGUACCCGUGGCAUAUGGAGCGGCCCUAGGAAAGACAAAAAAUAAAAAUAAAUAAAAAAGAGCAUUAAAAAAAAAAAAAAAAGACAAAGAACUUUAGUGUACUUGACCUUCAAAUCCCAAGAGUAGGUUGAAGAACUUUGAGCUGAAGGUCCAAGAAUUAUGUAGAAGCAAGAUUAUGAGGCCUCUUAUAAACUAUGUUUAAAGGUUUAUUUUUAAUCCUAAGAGCAAUAGGAAGCCAUUGAAGAGUUUAAAUGAAUGAAGUCAACAUGCCUUUAUUUGUAACAAUGAUUGCUCACUGAUAAGAUCAAAGGAGGAGCUUAAGUAGGUCUUAAAUAAGUGAGGGGCAUAGGUUUUAGAUACAGGCAGGGCCUGGAGCUGAGGUUAAAGCAGCCCAGGAAUGUGAAUGCGGGAAGUGCCAAAUCUGAACACUUUCUCAGUUUGUGGAGUCAUUUCAUAGGAACUAACCAUAUUCAAUGUAUAAUGUAAGUGAUAUAUUCAAUGUCUAAUAUUCAAUGUAUAGGUGUAUUAGGUUAGCCAAGUGCCUUUGGCAAAUUAUUUCACUCUACUCACCUGUGAGUAUAGGGAACAUAGCAAAGUAUGGUAUUUCAUCAUUGGUUAUGGUAUUUAUCAUGUUCUUAACUAUAAAAUUAUUCUCUCAUGUGUGCAGUAAUGUCAGUUUCAGGACUACGAAAACAUUCACACAUGUUUCCAAGCAAUGAGACACUUGUAGAGUUCUAAGUUCACAUGGAACAUAUUUUUGAAGAUCGAAGAAUGGCUGCUGCUGAGGAUAAAUUUUAAGUGUGUGCCUCACCAAGAUGUUAUAGUUUAUGAAUUUUAUAUUCAUGCCUCAAAGGUAAAAUAAACCUUUUUAAAGUACACGUUUAUCUUCCUUUAUGCAACAGAUUUACUCUGAGAAAACUGUAUAAACUAAUGUGCAAUUUGAGAAAGUUUUGAGAGCUUCUCUGCUUAAGAGAAAUUUAAUGACUACUUAUAACAGAAGAAUCUUGGGAAAAAACCUAUCUAAGGAGGCAAACGACUUAUAGUCUGAAAACUCUAAGAUGCUGAUUAAAGAAAUCAAAGAUGAUGCAGAAAGAUAUACACUUGGAUUGGAAGACUCAAUACUGUCAAAAAGACUAUACUACCCAAGGCAAAGUACAGAUUCAGUGUAAUCCUGAUCAAAGUAGCAAUGGCAUUUUUUACAGAACUAGAACAAAAAAAAUUUUUUAAUUUGUAUGGAAACACAGACUCCUGAGAAAGAAAAACAGAGCUGGAGGAAUCAGGCUCCCUGACUUCAGACUAUACUACAAAGCUACAGUCAUCCAAACAGCAUGGCACUGGCACAAAAACAAAAAUACACAUCAGGGGAGUUCCCAUUGUGGCUCAGCAGUAACAAACCUGACUAGUAACCAUGAGAACGAGGGUUUGAUCCCUGGCCUCACUGAGUGGGUUAAGAAUCCAGCACUGCUGUGAGCUAUGGUAUAGGUCAUAGAUGCAGCUUAGAACCAGCAUUGACAUGGUAUCAGCCAGCAGCUACAGGUCUGAUUUGACCCCUAGUCGGGAACUUCCAUAUGCCACCAGUAUGGCCCUAAAAAACAAAAGACAGAUAUAUAUAUCACACACACAUAUAUAUGACAAAUAUAAAAUCAUAUGUAUAUAAAAUCAUACACACACACACACCCCAUUUCUGCAGAACAGGGUAGAAAGCCCAGAAAUAAAUCCCAAGCACCUAUGGUCAAUUAAUCUGUGGAGUCCUAAAGGGGGCAAGAACAUACAGUGGAGGAAUGACAGUCUCUUCAAUCAGAGGUGCUGGGAAAACUGGACAGCUACAUAGAAAAGAAGGAAAUUAGAACAUUACCUAAUACCAUACAAAAGAACAAACUCAGAAUGGAUUGAAGACCUAAACUUAAGGCCAGAUACUAUAAAACUCCUAGAGGAAAACAUACGCAGAACAUUCUUUGACAUAAAUUGCAAUAAUAUCUUGUUUGAUCCACCUUCCAGAAUGACAAUAAAAACAAAAAUAAACCAAUGGGACCUAAUUAAACUCAAGAGCUUUUACACAGCGAAGGAAAGCAUAAAAGAAAACCAAGAGACAACCCACAGAAUGGGAGAAAAUCUUUGCAAAGGAUGCAACCGACAGGGUAGUAAUCUCCAAAAUAUACAAACAACUUACACAACUCAAUAACAAAAAACAACCCAAUCGAAAAACAGGCAGAACUAAAUAGACGGCUCUCCAAAGAGGACAUAUGGACAGCCAUGUCCUAUUGAUGGACAUGGGCAUAUGAAAAGAUGCUCAACAUUACUGAUUAUUAGAGAAAUGCAGAUCAAAACUACAGUGAGGUACCACCUAACACCAGUUAGAAUGGCCAUCAUCAAAAAGUCUAUAAACAUUAAAUGCUGGAGAGGGUGCAGAGAAAAGGGAACUCUCCUACACUGUUGGUGGUAAUGUAAACUGGUACAACCACUAUGGAGAACAGUAAGGAGGUUCCUCAAAAAAACGAAAAAUAAAACUACCUUAUGAUCCAGUAAUCCCACUCCUGGGCAUCUAUCCAGAGAAAAUCAUAAUUCAAGAAGAGACAUGCACCCCAAUAUUCACUGCAGCACUAUUCACAAUAGCCAAGACAUGCAAACAACCUAAAUGUCCAUUGGCAGAGGAAUGGAUUAAAAAGACAUGGUAAUUAUAUACAAUGGAACAUUACUCAGCCAUAAAAAAGAAAUAAUGCCAUUUACAGCAACCUGGAUAGACCUAUAGAUCAGUCACAGACAAAUAUCAUAUGAUACCACUUAUAUGCGGAAUCAAAAAAAAAAAGAUACAAAUGAUACAAAACAGAAACAGACUCACAGAUUUUUGGAAUCAAACUUUCAGUUACCAAAAGGGAAACAUUGGGGGACAGAUAAAUUAGGAUUUGGCGAUUAACACAUACCCACUACUAUAUAUAAUCUACAAGGACCUAGUGCAUAGCACAGGGAACUCUUACUAUUCUCUAAUAACCUAUAUGGGGGAAAAUAUCUGAAAAAGAAUGGGUAUAUGUAUAACUGAAUCACUUUGCUGUACCCCUGAAGCUAACACAACAUUGUAAAUCAACUAUACUCCAAUAUAAAAAACAAAAAGUAAAUUAAAAAAGACGGACUCUGUUGUAUUCCGUACUUUCUAUACUGGACUGCUCUCAAUUCCUUGCCAGCUGAGAGGAGAGAAUGUAGCCAGUAUCACCCCUGGAAAGUCCCCAAGUCUCUCAAGAGAUGCUGGAACACCAGGGGAAACAUUACAGUUAGUGGUGUGCUCCACAGAUGUCCUUUGAUUGGAACCCCAAUUUCAAUGCACUGGAUCCUUAGGGAGGUUAUCUGAGGAUGGUGGUAGGACUGAACUGCCAAUCACAGUACCCUUCUUCCUGGCUCCCUUCCAGCGACUGAUCUAGGGACAGCCAUGCGAUGGUGUGCUGGCAGUGAUGCCUAAGUGGCCAGAUGGGAAAGUAUUCACGAUUUGGCCGACACACCCCUUUGUAGGUUUGCUCCUUUCAGGAUGCCUGGUGGCAGCCACCUUAACAGCAAGGAGAAAGCAAGCCAGUAGCACAGGAAGAUGAAAGAGGUUGGUUUUCAUAUAGCAUCACUGGGUUGCUUCAUCAGCUCUAGAUUGUGUGCUCCAACCUUCUGCCAAAUAAGACAAGGAAAUUCCCAUACCUAAGGUGCAAUUUGUGGGGGUUUUUUCUGUUGGUUCCCAACAUACUCAGGAUAUUCAGUCAAUAUCCUGAAUUUCUUCUGAAACUUUUCUAAAUAUCAUGUGCCAAGUUCUGCAGCUACUGAUAGUAUAUGGAAUUCUGCUUUGAUUUAAUAACAUGGGUGGGAACCAGGAAGCCAUUACAUCCAAAACGUAAAUGUUUAUAUAAUGACAUUUGUAGAGCCUCCUAGAAAGAUGCUGAGCUACCUGACCUAUUGUGUUGUUACCAAAAAACAGCAGGACAACAAAACCCAAGAAACUGUCUACAUCCUGCCUAGGCAGCUUGGCUAUAAUUACGCUCUCUUAAUUGAGCUUGACUGGCCAAAUAUUGAAAACGGCUGAACCCUCAAUGCUAAAGCAGAAGCAGUCCCACUGACCCAAGGGAGUAAUUUCCUAGAAAAACAGAAGGACAAAAUGUUUUGGGGACAGUUUUAGGCAAAUUAAAGUCACACAAUAAUAAGCACUGCACAUACCAGCCAAAGCAUCAGCCAUCACGGAUUGUUCACCUUAAGCAAACACGUGGGCGGAAGUUUGCAACAGCUAUACUUAUUCAAAAGGUGUAACCUGUCAGGCAGGCUCCAGGAUUUUCAGACUAGUUUAUAUGUAUGGGACACUAAAUCCUUGCAGGAUAUCAAAGACAGGAAACAUAUUUGUGCAUGAGUAUUUAUAUUGUCAUUUAAAGGCAUAUAAACA